Cyprinus carpio (common carp) is the source of this 375-nucleotide long non-coding RNA. RefSeq lists it as uncharacterized. NCBI's taxonomy places the organism in Eukaryota, Metazoa, Chordata, Actinopteri, Cypriniformes, Cyprinidae. The record is from RefSeq and is a predicted model, not a curated record. The transcript has 3 exons.
CAAAUUUUGUAAUAGUAAUCCAAGUUAUUUCAGUUGCAAGGUUUUCAACAGUGAUGAAGCAGCCGCUGGGUUUAAUGAGCCACAUGUGGUCACUGAGAACCAGAGAUGCGAUGAAAGACCAUUGCUGUUGAGGUGUGGUGAAGAAAUAGGGCACAGUCGAAAGCAAUGCUAAAUUACUCCAGAGUGGUUUUUACUGUGAACAUUUGUAAAGAGGUGGAUGGACUGAAAGGUUUCUGCGGUUUAAGGCCUGGGCAGGUCACAGACAGUCUGAAACACUCCAGACCUUAAAGAAACAAAUCUUGCUCAACAGACGACUCCCUCCAGACGCUCAAAUGCAAAUGAGAGGACAGAGCAGUGGUCAUAAAUCAUCCAAUG